Molecule: long non-coding RNA, 1332 nt
Organism: Neofelis nebulosa (Clouded leopard)
Lineage: Eukaryota; Metazoa; Chordata; Mammalia; Carnivora; Felidae
Exons: 6
Source: RefSeq, a predicted model, not a curated record
GCUCCAGGCUCUGAGCUGUCAGCGCAGAGCCCGACACGGGGCUCGAACCCACAAACCAUGAGAUCAUGACCUGAGCUGAAGUUGGAUGCUUAACCAACUGAGCCACCCAGGCUUCCCUACACCUUUGAAUUUCAACAGGGUGCUCUCAUGCUCAUUAGUGGAACCCACAGUUGAGAACUCUUUACUGUGAUGUAAUAAUAUUGCAUUGUGACUGCAGAAGGGCACAGUUGGGUUCAAGGCCACGGUUGGCUUUGGUGAGUGGAGGUUUUGGCUCAGCUCUUAAAACCAUGAGAUUCCCUUUUCUCUGACAGUAAGAUUAGCCCUGCCAAAUCAUAAAUGAUUGCAGACCAAGACUUUUAGUGAAAGGAAAAUCUUAUGUAGAUAAGAUGAGUUUUGAAUUCCUAAAAACUAGGAAUUCAACUCAUACAAAAUCAGUGUCUUUUGGGAAAAUGGCUCCUUUCUCGACCACUUCUGAAUUCUCCCUCUGUUGUCUGGAUCAUGAGGUUCAAUAAAGACUCAGGUGCAAAGAUGGGGCUCACGUGUCAUAGGUAGGGCUCCGCAGGACCCAGACCUGUUUCCCUCAACUAUUUGCUUGUCUGUUAAGAAACCUAAUAGGAUCAAAGGAUGAUUUGUUUUAAAGCAGGUUAAUAGAGUGAAUAAUAAGAAAACUACAACAGACUGGAAUGUUGUGCUGCAAUCUACAAAUCAGUUUUUCUUCCAUCAUGCUAUUUACUGCUCAUAAUCAAGCAUGUGGUUCUAUAUUUUCAUGUGUCAGACUUUAUCCCUACAAAAGUUGCUGAAACACAAGUCUUAACUGAUGUUCCUAGAGCUGAACAUAUGAGAAGGCAGUGAAACUGACCGGCGUACUCCUUACCAGUGGGGCACAGGGCUUUCCAAGCCUACCGUGCAAACCAGCAGAUACUUGGAUCAAACAUUAAGCAUCUUUUUCAGAAAGUAGAAAUCCUAGUUCAAGCAGUCCUGGGACUCAGACCUCAAAUAACUUCUUCGGUGAUGGGAGGAGACAAAAUCAGAUUGGGUUCACAACCCAUAGCUGGUCUUCUGUAGGGACAUGCAGAAUCCAAAGUCCCAGUCUAAUCAUGAGAAAAACAUCAGACAAACUCCAAAGAAGGGAUGUUCUAGAAAAUACCUGAUCAGUACUCCUCAAAACUGUCAACAUCGUUAAAAACAAGGCAAAUCUGAGACCCACAGCCAAGAGGAGCCUAAGGAGACAUGAAGAAUGACUGUAAUGUGACAUACUAGAAAGAUCCUGGAACAGGAAAAGGACCCUAGGUAUAAACUAAGGAAAUCUGAAUAAAGUAUGGGUUUUGGUAA